CGGGUGAGUAACACGUGAGUAACCUGCCCCAGGCUUUGGGAUAACCCCGGGAAACCGGGGCUAAUACCGGAUAUGACUGGCUGCCGCAUGGUGGUUGGUGGAAAGAUUUUUUGGCUUGGGAUGGGCUCGCGGCCUAUCAGCUUGUUGGUGGGGUGAUGGCCUACCAAGGCGGCGACGGGUAGCCGGCCUGAGAGGGCGACCGGCCACACUGGGACUGAGACACGGCCCAGACUCCUACGGGAGGCAGCAGUGGGGAAUCUUGCACAAUGGGCGGAAGCCUGAUGCAGCGACGCCGCGUGAGGGAUGACGGCCUUCGGGUUGUAAACCUCUUUCAGCAGGGACGAAGCGUUUGUGACGGUACCUGCAGAAGAAGCGCCGGCCAACUACGUGCCAGCAGCCGCGGUAAGACGUAGGGCGCAAGCGUUGUCCGGAUUUAUUGGGCGUAAAGAGCUCGUAGGCGGCUUGUCGCGUCGACUGUGAAAACCCGUGGCUCAACUGCGGGCUUGCAGUCGAUACGGGCAGGCUAGAGUUCGGUAGGGGAGACUGGAAUUCCUGGUGUAGCGGUGAAAUGCGCAGAUAUCAGGAGGAACACCGGUGGCGAAGGCGGGUCUCUGGGCCGAUACUGACGCUGAGGAGCGAAAGCGUGGGGAGCGAACAGGAUUAGAUACCCUGGUAGUCCACGCUGUAAACGUUGGGCGCUAGGUGUGGGGAGCCUCUCCGGUUCUCUGUGCCGCAGCUAACGCAUUAAGCGCCCCGCCUGGGGAGUACGGCCGCAAGGCUAAAACUCAAAGGAAUUGACGGGGCCCCGCCA
Molecule: ribosomal RNA, 811 nt
Filed under: Salinispora tropica
Lineage: Bacteria; Bacillati; Actinomycetota; Actinomycetes; Micromonosporales; Micromonosporaceae
Description: bacterial SSU rRNA
Rfam family: Bacterial small subunit ribosomal RNA
Source: RNAcentral